CCUGGAUGCUUCAUACUUUGUAUAUGGAUGCCUCAUGUUACGAAGUUUCCGUCAGUCACAUGUCCAAUGUCCUUGACCUCAUUUUCAUGGUUCAGUGACUACUUGAAAAAAAAGUUCAGAUUUUUUGUAAUGUUAAAUUCUCUCUUAUUAUAAGUAAUAGGAUAACUAUAUUUGGUAUGUGCGUACCUUGCAAGGUCCUCAUGCCCGUCAGACAGUUUUCACUUGACCUCGACCUCAUUUCAUGGAUCAGUGAACAAGGUUAAGUUUUCGUGGUCAAGUCCAUAUCUCAGAUACUAUAAGCAAUAGGUCUAGUAUAUUCGGUGUAUGGAAGGACUGUAAGGUGUACAUGUCCAACUGGCAGGUGUCAUCUGACCUUGACCUCAUUUUCAUGGUUCAGUGGUUAUAGUUAAGUUUUUGUGUUUUGGUCUGUUUUUCUUAUACUGUAUGCAAUAGGUCUACUAUAUUUGGUGUAUGGAAUGAUUGUAAGGUGUACAUGUCUAGUUGGCAGGUGUCAUCUGACCUUGACCUCAUUUUCAUGGUUCAGUGGUCAAAGUUAAGUUUUUGAGUUUUGGUCUUUUUUUCUAAUACUGCAUGCAAUAGGUCAGCUAUAUUUGGUGUAUGGAAUGAUUGUAAGGUGUACAUGUCUAGCUGGCAGGUGUCAUCUGACCUUGACCUCGUUUUCAUGGUUCAGUGGUUAUAGUUAAGUUUUUGUGUUUUGGUCUGUUUUUCUUAUACUGUAUGCAAUAGGUCUACUAUAUUUGGUGUAUGGAAUGAUUGUAAGGUGUACAUGUCUAGCUGGCAGGUGUCAUCUGACCUUGACCUCAUUUUCAUGGUUCAGUGGUUAUAGUUAAGUUUUUGUGUUUUGGUCUGUUUUUCUUAUACUGUAUGCAAUAGGUCUACUAUAUUUGGUGUAUGGAAUGAUUGUAAGGUGUACAUGUCUAGCUGGCAGGUGUCAUCUGACCUUGACCUCAUUUUCAUGGUUCAGUGGUUAUAGUUAAGUUUUUGUGUUUUGGUCUGUUUUUCUUAUACUGUAUGCAAUAGGUCUACUAUAUUUGGUGUAUGGAAUGAUUGUAAGGUGUACAUGUCUAGCUGGCAGGUGUCAUCUGACCUUGACCUCGUUUUCAUGGUUCAGUGGCUAUAGUUAAGUUUUUGUGUUUUGGUCUGUUUUUCUUAUACUGUAUGCAAUAGGUCUACUAUAUUUGGUGUAUGGAAUGAUUGUAAGGUGUACAUGUCUAGCUGGCAGGUGUCAUCUGACCUUGACCUCAUUUUCAUGGUUCAGUGGUUAUAGUUAAGUUUUUGUGUUUUGGUCUGUUUUUCUUAUACUGUAUGCAAUAGGUCUACUAUAUUUGGUGUAUGGAAUGAUUGUAAGGUGUACAUGUCUAGCUGGCAGGUGUCAUCUGACCUUGACCUCGUUUUCAUGGUUCAGUGGUUAUAGUUAAGUUUUUGUGUUUUGGUCUGUUUUUCUUAUACUGUAUGCAAUAGGUCUACUAUAUUUGGUGUAUGGAAUGAUUGUAAGGUGUACAUGUCUAGCUGGCAGGUGUCAUCUGACCUUGACCUCGUUUUCAUGGUUCAGUUGUCAAAGGUAAGUUUUUGAGUUUUGGUCUUUUUUUCUAAUACUAUAUCCAAUAGGUCAACUUUAUUUGGUGUAAGGAAAUAUUUUAUGAUCUUUAUGUCAGUCGCGCAGGUUUUAUAUGACCUUGACCUCAUUUUCACAGUUCAUUGCUCAGUGUUAAGUUUUUGUGUUUUGGUCUUAAACUAUAAGCAAUAGGUCAACUAUAUUUGUUAUAUGGAAGAAUUGUUAACUGUACAUGUCUGCUUGGCAUGGUUCAUCUGACCUUGACCUCAUUUUCAUGGUUCAUUGGUCAAUGUUUAGUUUUCUUGGUUAAUGUUAAGUUUAUGUGACAGUUGUAAUAAAGCUUUAUAUUUAGGACUAUCAACAUAAUAUCAAUGAUUAGUAAAGAAGGCGAGACAUUUCAGUGUGUGCACUCUUGUUUAUA
This is a long non-coding RNA of Mytilus californianus (California mussel), 1997 nucleotides long. RefSeq lists it as uncharacterized. NCBI's taxonomy places the organism in Eukaryota, Metazoa, Mollusca, Bivalvia, Mytilida, Mytilidae. The transcript has 3 exons. The record is from RefSeq and is a predicted model, not a curated record.